Molecule: ribosomal RNA, 253 nt
Filed under: uncultured bacterium
Lineage: Bacteria
Description: partial 16S ribosomal RNA
Rfam family: Bacterial small subunit ribosomal RNA
Source: RNAcentral
UACGGAGGUGGCAAGCGUUGCUCGGAAUUACUGGGCGUAAAGGGCGCGUAGGCGGCCUUCUAAGUCGAACGUGAAAUCCCCGGGCUCAACCCGGGAACUGCGUCCGAGACUGGAAGGCUUGAAUCCGGGAGAGGGAUGUGGAAUUCCUGGUGUAGCGGUGAAAUGCGCAGAUAUCAGGAGGAACACCGGUGGCGAAGGCGGUUCUCUGGGCAUGAUCUGACGCUGAGGAGCGAAAGUGUGGGGAGCGAACAGG